GUCAGAAAAAAUUAAGGAUUAUAUUUGCUCUUUAAAUAUUUUCUUUAAAAAGAAUUUUUAAAUUUUUAAAAAUGGAUUAUAAUACUUUCCAUCAAGGAAAUAAUAUAAACACCUUUUUGAUGUUUUUUUUUCAAAAUAUUAGUCAAUUCCAUUAAUCUAUAAAGUGUCAAUUAUUAUUGUGCUCCUUUUUCAUCCCAUCAAUUGAUUUAGAUUUGACAUCCUAUAACUGCCAAAAAAUGUAAAUUAAAAAUAUGUUUCCUAUUUUUUUCCUUUCAGGGAAAUCUUGAGGAGUUGGACACUUUUCUUCCUCCAGCAUUAAUUAUUUUGUGGGAGGAGGCUGUACACUGGUGGGAGUAAAAAGCAAGCAGUUCCUGGCCCAUAAUACUCCAGUUUAGGAUGUCUGACUGAUGGCAUGCUGGCACCAACCUUGGAGGAAGUGAUGAGCUUCAGCUCCAGAACAAUGAUCAAGGACUUUCUUCAUGAGACUCUCUUCAUCAAACAGGAGAAUCUUUCUUGGAAGCAUCUAUGUUUCAAUUGUGAGUGAUUUGUCACCCCAACGGAUGUCUCCAGAGUGCCUCUGAGCAGUGUUCAUGCCCUCCCCUUCUCCUGUGGGGGUAUGGGAAUGUAAGUACGUGGCAAGAUAUGGGAUUUUCCAUUAGAACCUGAGAGUGCAUGGAGUGGAUGGGGCGGGUAAGCAACCUGUUUACUCCUUCACCCCUAGCCUUCCCAGGGUAUACGUUUUCCCCAGCCAUUGUCUUACCCUUUGCCAGUUGUCAUUUUCAUUUAUAGCACUUAUGUCAUCUGAAUUUAUCCUAUUUUAUUAGUUUCUUGUUUGUCUUGUUCUAUUAGAAGUAAACCUCCAUGAACCAUGGGGCAUGUGUGUCUCAUUUGCCCCUAUAGCCAUACUCCCUCAGACAGCAGAGUAGAUGUUCCAUAAAAUAUUGUCAAUUGAGUGAUGGUACUUAGGGACAUUUCAAAAGUAUUGUCUCCUUUACCUUCCUCUACUAGUAAAACUUUCUAGUCCUGUAGGGAGCACUUACAUUUUCCUAAUUUUUCUAUUUUCCGAGAAAUGUUUUUGAGGUGGUAGAAGCUACAUCUCUUCAGAAACCAUUUCAGUACCACCACGCGUACCGCCCGCUGAGUCUUCGGGUUUGACUCAGUAUACUUGUGAGGUCAGUACUCAGAUGCGGUCACCUUGGUGUCCUCCCCUCCUGCUCUCCUGCAGGAAGCUGAACAGCCAACCUUGUUCUGCCCCUCUACCACAGGGUUUACCAUAAGGUCAACUUCUUGUUCCUUCC
RNAcentral lists this long non-coding RNA (1298 nucleotides) under Bos grunniens (domestic yak). RNAcentral's name for it is "lncRNA (ENSBGRG00000008302.1)". The record is from RNAcentral. Lineage: Eukaryota; Metazoa; Chordata; Mammalia; Artiodactyla; Bovidae.